RNAcentral lists this ribosomal RNA (421 nucleotides) under uncultured eukaryote. Its description in RNAcentral is "bacterial SSU rRNA". It matches the Rfam family "Eukaryotic small subunit ribosomal RNA", at positions 592 to 1017 of the family's 1831-position model. The record is from RNAcentral.
CAAUAGCGUAUAUUAAAGUUGUUGCGGUUAAAAAGCUCGUAGUUGGAUUUCUGCUGAGGACGACCGGUCCGCCCUCCGGGUGAGCAUCUGGUUCGGCCUUGGCAUCUUCUUGGUGAACGUAUCUGCACUUGACUGUGUGGUGCGGUACCCAGGACUUUUACUGUGAGAAAAUUAGAGUGUUCAAAGCAGGCUUAGGCCGUUGAAUGUAUUAGCAUGGAAUAAUAAGAUAAGACUUCGGUACUAUUUUGUUGGUUUGCGCACCAAAGUAAUGAUGAACAUGGACAGUUGGGGGUAUUUGUAUUUUCUUGUCAGAGGUGAAAUUCUUAGAUUUUGGAAAGACAAACAAUUGCGAAAGCAUUUACCAAGGAUGUUUUAAUUGAUCAAGAACGAAAGUAUGGGGAUCGAAGACGAUUAGAUACCG